GACGAACGCUGGCGGCGUGCUUAACACAUGCCAGUCGAACGGAAAGGCCCUGCUUUUGUGGGGUGCUCGAGUGGCGAAAGGGUGAGUAACACGUGAGUAACCUGCCCUUGACUUUGGGAUAACUUCAGGCAACUGGGGCUAAUACCGGAUAGGAGCUCCUGCUGCAUGGUGGGGGUUGGAAAGUUUCGGCGGUUGGGGAUGGACUCGCGGGUUAUCAGCUUGUUGGUGGGGUAGUGGCUAACCAGGGCUUUGACGGGUGGCCGGCCUGAGAGGGUGACCGGCCACAUUGGGACUGCGAUACGGCCCAGACUCCUACGGGAGGCAGCAGUGGGGAAUAUUGCACAAUGGUCGGGAGCCUGAUGCAGCAACGCCGCGUGCGGGAUGACGGCCUUCGUGUUGUAAACCGCUUUCGCCUGUGACGAAGCGUGAGUGACGGUAAUGGGUAAAGAAGCACCGGCUAACUACGUG
This 468-nucleotide ribosomal RNA is filed under the name uncultured bacterium. RNAcentral's name for it is "partial 16S ribosomal RNA". It matches the Rfam family "Bacterial small subunit ribosomal RNA", at positions 28 to 507 of the family's 1533-position model. The record is from RNAcentral.